This 3064-nucleotide long non-coding RNA is filed under the name Vigna radiata. RNAcentral describes it as "long non-coding RNA (VRAD_LNC009466)". Lineage: Eukaryota; Viridiplantae; Streptophyta; Magnoliopsida; Fabales; Fabaceae. The record is from RNAcentral.
CACCUCCACCACCGUCUCCUCCGCCUCCUUCAUCACUUCCUGGGACACGUUUACUUGCUCCACCGCCAGGAUCACUGCCUCCCCUUUCUAACGAGAUGGGUGCGCCGCAGCCGCAACGUUACCUGGGUCACCACCACCACCACCAUGUGCACGCACCGCCGCCGCCACCCAAGAUGAAUGCGGGGAAAAAGGUUGGACUUUUGUUUGCUGGCAUUGCGGCAAUUAUGCAAGUUGGCAUGGUUGGGUACUUAGUAGUAAAGAGAAGACAACUUUUGAAUAGCGAUGAGGACAGAUACGAGAGUUGUUCUUGAAAUAGAUUCUUAUCAAUUCAUUUUAAUUUAUAAAUUUAAUGGAUUGAAAUUCUUUGUUGAACGCGUAAUGGUUGGGAGAAGGGGAAUAUUGUUUGGAUUUUACAGAAUCUGAUGGAAGGAACAUGAAAAGGCAAGCACGUAAAGACACCAAUGAUUUUAGAAAUUAUUGGAAAAUGAAUUGUGUGCAAUUGAUGCCAUCAUUUCAGCCCUUGGCGUUACUGUGUAUAUUGGUACUGCUAGUUCACGUUUCAUGCUGUGUUGCCCCUUUUUCCCUUAGUUCCAUUACAUUGGCUUAUAAUGGAAAGAAAAAGUAGCCCUCAUGUACCUUUUUUAAAUUUUUUUCUUCUAAUUUGAUCUUUUUUUUCUAACAUGUUCAGUGUACAAUGAUGCUAGGAAUCUUUAAAGAAUUAACAAUGACAAUCUUAUAUUCUUUGUUUUUCCUCCUCCACUCAGUGUCUGAUUGUUCGAUGUUGUUGUAUUCUAUUGUCCUUGUGUCUAGAGUUUCUCUAGUACUAUAUUAUAUUAAAACUGUUGUGAUUUGUAAUUAUGUUCCAACUUCAAAUGGAAAUAUGGAAUAUUUGGCACACCCUUAAACGACCACCCUUUUUCUUCUUUUUCUUGAUAGAAAUGACGUUCUGCUUUGCCAUCUAAAGUAAAAUUAACUGCUCACUGGCUUUUAAAGUAGACUUUGUAUCAUGUUUUUGGGUUUGACAUCUUGAAUGUGAUUUUAAGAAGUUAACAGUUGUAGCUUCUACGUUCCAAACUUGAUUUCUAACAGUACUUCCAAGCAUGUUAUCAAUUGAACCUUAAUUUGGUUGAAAUCUCCCAAUGUAGUAUUAUAUGUCUCGAGAUUGUUCACUAUAUGAUUUUAGAAUUGUGCCUUUGGAGGAUGCCCUUUGUAGGGAUAACCUGUCUAAACAAUGUACAUGAUGCUGUUUAACUAGGGAUAACCUCUGCUAGACAUUAUAUGGUAUGCUGCAAUUAGAUUCUACAUAACAAGCAAAAAUUUGCAAGUUAAUCAUUUAUAACAUCUCUGGUAGUUUGUCUAUCGACAUUUUUUGAUAGACCUUUGUGACAUUGUUUUAUUCCCUACUAUAGUUAAUAGGAAAAGGUUUGGAGGUUCUUGUAACGAAGAAUUUUAUAUGGUAAUGGGUGAUUUUAAUGAAUGCCAUCAUUUACUACAUCUUGUAUGUUCUUGGAAGUAGCUGACAGUAUUAUGUUUAUACGAUUCUUCUCCAUUACACUUACAGGUCUUAAUAAAUCAACCUCAUUAAGGGAAACAUGGUAGAUUUAGAAGCUUUCAAAAUGUAUAUGACUAACUUGCAUACAUAAAUUUACUUGCAAUGAAGCGUCUAUAAUAGCAACAUUCUGAUAUUGUUAAACCGUGAGACAUGAUCGAUUGUUGAUUGCUGAUGGCACAUUAAAACUGCCUGAGUAUUUUUUGUUCAUGUGUUGUCACAAAUGAUCAUCCUCAAUAAACUUGCAAACUGCGGUUCACCCCUUUGGAUUGGUUCAAUUUUUGUGAAGAACGAUCUCAAUAAACUUUUAUUGUAGAAUUAUUGAUUGUACUGAUGAUUGAUAUGGGUGUACACAGUCUCUCUAAAGCAGAAUAUUCAAGUCACAUCCCAUCAGUACAACACUAAGAGGAUCUGAAAUUUUCAGCAAGUAUGAGAUUUGUCUCGCUGGAUUUACUUCGUGGGAGAGCUCUCAUACAUGGUAAUAUCCUUUGCCAACAGGUAGAUUGUUCAUAUCCUAUUAUUCUUCCAAUUCAAAUAUUAAGUGUCUGUUUGAUAAACUUUUUCAGAAGCAUUUUUAAAAGAAGAAAAUAUGAAAGAAAAAAUAAAUAAACUUCAGCUUUAAGUUAAAAUUUGUUCACGGAUAAGUUAAUUUGAAUAAGUUAUCUCGUAUUAGCUAAUCCAAAAUCAGAUUCUUAACUUAUGUAUUAGUUAGUUUUAGCUUGUGAAGAGGUUUCUAAAAACACUUCAAAGAGAGAAAAGGAUGAAAUAGACUUCUUCACAAGCUAAAAGUUAUCUUGCGGAUGAUAUCUUGUGCCGACUAGAUCAACAAUCAAUGGUAGCUUUUUAAUGAAGUAGAAAAUGCUUAUAUACAUGAAAAGAAUUUGAGAAUGCUUAUAUAUAUAUAUAUAUAUAUAUAUAUAUAUAUAUAUAUAUAUAUAUAUAUAUAUAUAUAUAUAUAUAUCAUUAAUUUCAUUCCUUGUUCAUUUACAGAAUUAGGAAAAGUUGCAACCUUUUCUAGAUAAUGUUGUUGACAUCAGUUUACCCUUUUAACUGCUAAGUUUUUAUUCUAUUAAUGUGCGUUAAAUUUAGUAACUUCACUUUAAUAAAUAUUUUAUCAUCCUUCUAAAGCAUUGCUUCAAAUUACUACUUGAAUAGUUCUUCAUUCAAUUAUUGAUCCAUCAAUAUAGUAUCUUGACUCCAAUAAAACAAUUUAUCACUCUUCUGAAACAUUGCCUCAACUUGCUAUGAAUGUUUUCAUUCAAUUAAUGAUCCAUUAAUAUAGUUUGACUCGAAUAAAUAAUUUAUAGUUCUUCUAAAACAUUGAUUGCCUCAUUAUUUCUGCAGGUCAGAGAUACUCACUGCACAAUGAUAAAGCUUAUGUUUGCAUUUCACUCAAAUUAUAUACAUUGAAAUGUGUAAUCAAACAUGCGAAAAUUGUAGCACUAUGUUUCAUUGUAAUAAUGUUCUGCUAUCAUUUUUCUUUAAACAUUUUGAAUUUAUCUAUAAACACUUCAC